This is a long non-coding RNA of Quercus lobata, 401 nucleotides long. RefSeq lists it as uncharacterized. The transcript is spliced from 2 exons. Lineage: Eukaryota; Viridiplantae; Streptophyta; Magnoliopsida; Fagales; Fagaceae. The record is from RefSeq and is a predicted model, not a curated record.
AUCAAAAAAAAAAAAAAUUUAAAGAAAAUAAUAAUAAUAAAUAAGGAGAAACAUGAGAUUUUAGCUUCCAAUUAAAAUGCCAGGGAACUGUUCAAUAACAUAUAAAAAGUUACUGCAAUGCCAAAUUAUUUUAUAUUCCUCUUAUUUGUAACAAUGCUCUUGUAAUAUUAAGAGGAAGUUAGCAAGCUCUCAAAUAUGGAUAAUAGAGGCCCAAGAAUAGAAAUAAAUAAAUAAAUAAAUAAUCAUAGGUGCACACACACACAAACUUAACCAGCCAACAGGGUACUAAUCAAAUUAUAGAGAGAGAGAGGUACCUCAUCACCCUCAUCUGCAUAUGGUGUGUUCUCAUGCAUGAUACGAGAAUCAGGUUGUCUAGUAGGAAUAUUCUCAUUGGCCAUACU